GAUGAACGCUGGCGGCGUGCCUAAUACAUGCAAGUCGAGCGAACGGACGAGAAGCUUGCUUUUCUGAUGUUAGCGGCGGACGGGUGAGUAACACGUGGAUAACCUACCUAUAAGACUGGGAUAACUUCGGGAAACCGGAGCUAAUACCGGAUAAUAUUUUGAACCGCAUGGUUCAAAAGUGAAAGACGGUCUUGCUGUCACUUAUAGAUGGAUCCGCGCUGCAUUAGCUAGUUGGUAAGGUAACGGCUUACCAAGGCAACGAUGCAUAGCCGACCUGAGAGGGUGAUCGGCCACACUGGAACUGAGACACGGUCCAGACUCCUACGGGAGGCAGCAGUAGGGAAUCUUCCGCAAUGGGCGAAAGCAUGACGGAGCAACGCCGCGUGAGUGAUGAAGGUCUUCGGAUCGUAAAACUCUGUUAUGAGGGAAGAACAUAUGUGUAAGUAACUGUGCACAUCUUGACGGUACCUAAUCAGAAAGCCACGGCUAACUACGUG
This 497-nucleotide ribosomal RNA is filed under the name uncultured bacterium. RNAcentral describes it as "partial 16S ribosomal RNA". It matches the Rfam family "Bacterial small subunit ribosomal RNA", at positions 28 to 507 of the family's 1533-position model. The record is from RNAcentral.